GUGGGGAAUCUUGCGCAAUGGGCGAAAGCCUGACGCAGCCAUGCCGCGUGAAUGAUGAAGGUCUUAGGAUUGUAAAAUUCUUUCACCGGGGACGAUAAUGACGGUACCCGGAGAAGAAGCCCCGGCUAACUUCGUGCCAGCAGCCGCGGUAAUACGAAGGGGGCUAGCGUUGCUCGGAAUUACUGGGCGUAAAGGGCGCGUAGGCGGACAGUUUAGUCAGAGGUGAAAGCCCAGGGCUCAACCUUGGAAUUGCCUUUGAUACUGGCUGUAUUGAGUACGGGAGAGGUGAGUGGAACUCCGAGUGUAGAGGUGAAAUUCGUAGAUAUUCGGAAGAACACCAGUGGCGAAGGCGACUCACUGGCCCGUUACUGACGCUGAGGCGCGAAAGCGUGGGGAGCAAACAGGAUUAGAAACCCUAGUAGUCC
This 425-nucleotide ribosomal RNA is filed under the name uncultured bacterium. RNAcentral describes it as "partial 16S ribosomal RNA". It matches the Rfam family "Bacterial small subunit ribosomal RNA", at positions 354 to 796 of the family's 1533-position model. The record is from RNAcentral.